UGGGGAAUAUUGCACAAUGGGCGCAAGCCUGAUGCAGCCAUGCCGCGUGUAUGAAGAAGGCCUUCGGGUUGUAAAGUACUUUCAGCGGGGAGGAAGGCGAUAAGGUUAAUAACCUUGUCGAUUGACGUUACCCGCAGAAGAAGCACCGGCUAACUCCGUGCCAGCAGCCGCGGUAAUACGGAGGGUGCAAGCGUUAAUCGGAAUUACUGGGCGUAAAGCGCACGCAGGCGGUCUGUCAAGUCGGAUGUGAAAUCCCCGGGCUCAACCUGGGAACUGCAUUCGAAACUGGCAGGCUAGAGUCUUGUAGAGGGGGGUAGAAUUCCAGGUGUAGCGGUGAAAUGCGUAGAGAUCUAGAGGAAUACCGGUGGCGAAGGCGGCCCCCUGGACAAAGACUGACGCUCAGGUGCGAAAGCGUGGGGAGCAAACA
RNAcentral lists this ribosomal RNA (427 nucleotides) under uncultured bacterium. RNAcentral's name for it is "partial 16S ribosomal RNA". It matches the Rfam family "Bacterial small subunit ribosomal RNA", at positions 355 to 774 of the family's 1533-position model. The record is from RNAcentral.